GAUGAACGCUAGCGGCAGGCCUAAUACAUGCAAGUCGAGGGGCAGCAUCAUCGCUUGCGAUGGAUGGCGACCGGCGCACGGGUGCGUAACGCGUAUGCAACCUACCCUUUACAGGAGGAUAGCCCGGAGAAAUUCGGAUUAAUACUCCAUGGUACCAUAAAGUAGCAUUGCUUAAUGGUUAAAGAUUUAUUGGUAAAGGAUGGGCAUGCGUCUGAUUAGUUAGUUGGAGAGGUAACGGCUCACCAAGACGAUGAUCAGUAGGGGUUCUGAGAGGAUGAUCCCCCACACUGGCACUGAGAUACGGGCCAG
Molecule: ribosomal RNA, 309 nt
Filed under: uncultured bacterium
Lineage: Bacteria
Description: bacterial SSU rRNA
Rfam family: Bacterial small subunit ribosomal RNA
Source: RNAcentral